AAUGGCUUUCUUUGAUUAUAACAAUAACAAUUGUAGUGGCCACUAAUUACAGCCACUAAGAAUCUGGUAAUAAUUACUUUCUUUAUUAAGAUCGAUGGUGUUUGAAUCAGGGGGCAUGUCCUGGCGCGUGCGGCUGUUAAUUGUGAGAAACCAAAGUCUGGGUCAAAGCACCAAUAUGCCGAGUUCAAAUCAACAGAUUAGUUCUAAGUUAGGUGUCAUUUAUCGGAUCCAAGGGAGGUUCGAUUUGAUUGAGGAUCUGUUUGAAUGAUUGAUUGAGGGGAUUAUCAGUUGGUCGCAGCUCCUUCGCUCAUUAGAUAGCGUAGCUUUGCAUCUGAUUUCUAUCGCAUCAAGUAAUCUGUAGCCUGAGGCUGAAUGUUUCUAUCGAUGUUUCGAGCCUGAUUUGAAUCAAUGCUGCAGCAUUCAGGGCAGCCUUUCAUGUGCAUUUUGUUGUUGUUGUUUGACUGCGUAUGAUGUGCAUUUAUAUCGAACCGCUUAAAAUACCAGUGGAAUAGUAUUCCAAUGUUUUAGCUUUCUGGUUGGAACUUGGAACAAUGAUUUUGGUGUUAAUAGCUUGGUUUAUUAUAGGGUAUAUAAUUUUCUUUCUGUAACAGGGAACUGAUAAACACAUCGUUGUGUCGACAACAUAUAUGUCGAUAUUCUAUUCAAUGUUAACGGUCAACCAUACUUAAAAUUUGUACUCCAAACAAAAACUUGUGCUCCUAAUGAUGCAGCGGACGCCAUGCUCUGAGAAAGCGACUUGAAGAGGUAUACAUACAUUUUUAUUGUGGCUAAUGGUCCUUGAAUGAUUUCUUUAGUUUUAUGAGUUACUCUCUGUUGUUUCAACUUGGAUACGAACUUAAAGACGACCAAGUUGAGAGUUUGUUUUGGCAUUUCAAAGUUGUGGCUGAUCAAAAGAAUUGUGGCUGAGCAAAAGUUAACGGGUGAUUUUAUCCUGUUCCAUUUCAUUGACUCAAUCAACAAAUUGGGUUUAUACUUAAACUUUCUCCAUUCAAAUAGUGAUAAUAAUUUCUUUAACCAUCGUUGUCUGAUGUCCGAUAAUGUUCAUUCCCCAAACUUGGCUUACAUUCUAUGGAUUUACCGACUAGAUAUAUCUUUUAUGAUUAAGCUACACAACACACUGUACUUGCAUUACGGUAAAUAAUAUUUGAAAGAUUUCUAUAUUGAAGGAAGCAUGGAUUUCUAAUGCUUAAGUUAGCGACGAGACAUGAAGGUUACAAACAGAAGGAAUCGAUGGAUUCUGCGACUUUCCAGCAUCAGCAGCAGCACCUGAAAUCAACUCUGGUGGUGAUUGUCCUAACUCAUCGUCAUUGAUUUACGGGAACUGUGAAUUGAUUCAGCCUUACAAAGGUCUUCAACCUGAGGUUUUCUUCAAGAUGUCACAUGACGUCUAUAACUAUGGAGAAGGGUAUGAAUCUUAGUAACAUUCCCAAAUUGCUUAUUCUUGAAAAAGUUGGAAGAAAAUAGGCUUAAUUAUAGGCAUAAAUGGAUAUAAUGAUCAAUAAAUUAAUUUCUUGUCAGCAUGGCAUAAUUCAGAAGACUCGGAGAGUAAAAAUAAAACUAAUAUUGUAUCUUGCAUUCUUGUAUGUUUUAUGUUAACAAAGUAAAAAAUGAAAUGAUGCAUACUAUUAAUAUUAUUAUAAUCAUAGU
This is a long non-coding RNA of Vicia villosa (hairy vetch), 1668 nucleotides long. RefSeq lists it as uncharacterized. The record is from RefSeq and is a predicted model, not a curated record. The transcript is spliced from 3 exons. NCBI's taxonomy places the organism in Eukaryota, Viridiplantae, Streptophyta, Magnoliopsida, Fabales, Fabaceae.